Molecule: ribosomal RNA, 340 nt
Filed under: Clostridioides difficile
Lineage: Bacteria; Bacillati; Bacillota; Clostridia; Peptostreptococcales; Peptostreptococcaceae
Description: partial 23S ribosomal RNA
Rfam family: Bacterial large subunit ribosomal RNA
Source: RNAcentral
GCCCAUUAAAGUGGUACGCGAGCUGGGUUCAGAACGUCGUGAGACAGUUCGGUCCCUAUCCGUCGCAGGCGUAGGAAAUUUGAGAAGACCUGUCCUUAGUACGAGAGGACCGGGAUGGACGUACCUCUGGUGUACCAGUUGUUCUGCCAAGGGCAUGGCUGGGUAGCUAUGUACGGAAUGGAUAAGCGCUGAAAGCAUCUAAGCGCGAAGCCAACUUCAAGAUAAGAUUUCCCACCGCAAGGGUAAGACCCCAGAAAGACUAUCUGGUUGAUAGGUCGAAGGUGUAAGUGCAGCAAUGUAUUUAGCUUAUCGAUACUAAUAGGUCGAGGACUUGACCAAU